Molecule: ribosomal RNA, 465 nt
Filed under: uncultured Leptolinea sp.
Lineage: Bacteria; Bacillati; Chloroflexota; Anaerolineae; Anaerolineales; Anaerolineaceae
Description: bacterial SSU rRNA
Rfam family: Bacterial small subunit ribosomal RNA
Source: RNAcentral
AAAGGAAUUCGACGGACCCGACACAAGCAGCGGAGCGUGUGGUUAAUUCGAGGCUACACGAAGAACCUUACAGGGUUUGACAUGCAAGUGGUAGGAAUCCGAAAGGUGACCGACCCUUCGGGGAGCUUGCACAGGCGCUGCAUUGGCUGUCGUCAGCUCGUGUCGUGAGAUGUUCGGUUAAGUCCGCUAACGAGCGCAACCCUCGUCGUGUGUUAUACGUGUCACACGAUACUGCCGGUAUCAAGCCGGAGGAAGGUGGGGAUGAUGUCAAGUCAGCAUGGCCUUUAUAUCCUGGGCUACACACACGCUACAAUGGCAGAUACAAUAGGUUGCGAAACCGCGAGGUGGAGCCAAUCCUCAAAGUCUGUCUCAGUUCAGAUUGUAGGCUGCAACUCGCCUGCAUGAAGUUGGAGUUGCUAGUAAACGCAGGUCAGCUAUACUGCGUUGAAUACGUUCCCGGGGUUU